CCAUACACACAGGUACAGACAGCUUCAACACAGUCUCCAGGCCCUAACCCAUACACACAGGUACAGACAGCUUCAACACAGUCUACAGGCCCUAACCCAUACAGACAGCUUCAACACAGUCUACAGGCCCUAACCCGUACAGACAGCUACAACACAGUCUACAGGCCCUAACCCAUACACACAGGUACAGACAGCUUCAACACAGUCUGCAGGCCCUAACC
Molecule: long non-coding RNA, 221 nt
Organism: Oncorhynchus keta (chum salmon)
Lineage: Eukaryota; Metazoa; Chordata; Actinopteri; Salmoniformes; Salmonidae
Exons: 3
Source: RefSeq, a predicted model, not a curated record